RNAcentral lists this ribosomal RNA (400 nucleotides) under phytoplankton environmental sample. Its description in RNAcentral is "partial small subunit ribosomal RNA". It matches the Rfam family "Eukaryotic small subunit ribosomal RNA", at positions 587 to 989 of the family's 1831-position model. The record is from RNAcentral.
AGCUCCAAUAGCGUAUAUUAAAGUUGUUGCGGUUAAAAAGCUCGUAGUUGGAUUUCUGCCGAGGACAGUCGGUCCGCCCUUGCGGGUGAGCAUCUGAAUGGCCCUGGGCAUCUUUUCUGAAGGCUGUGUCUGCACUUCAUUGUGUGGAUCGGUUUUCGGGACUUUUACUUUGAGGAAAUUAGAGUGUUUCAGGCAUGCGUUUGUGGUGAAUACAUUAGCAUGGAAUAAUAAGAUAGGACUCGUGGCCUACUUUGUUGGUUUGUGUGCCAUAGGUAAUGAUUAAUAGGGAUAGUUGGGGGCAUUCGUAUUUAAUUGUCAGAGGUGAAAUUCUUGGAUUUAUUAAAGACGAACUACUGCGAAAGCAUUUGCCAAGGAUGUUUUCAUUGAUCAAGAACGAAAG